GCUCUAGUACGGCGAGUGAGCAGCAAUAGCUCAAAUUUGAAAUCUGGCGUCUUCGACGUCCGAGUUGUAAUUUGUAGAGGAUGCUUCUGAGUAACCACCGACCUAAGUUCCUUGGAACAGGACGUCAUAGAGGGUGAGAAUCCCGUAUGCGGUCGGAAAGGUGCUCUAUACGUAGCUCCUUCGACGAGUCGAGUUGUUUGGGAAUGCAGCUCUAAAUGGGAGGUAAAUUUCUUCUAAAGCUAAAUAUUGGGGAGAGACCGAUAGCGAACAAGUACAGUGAUGGAAAGAUGAAAAGAACUUUGAAAAGAGAGUUAAACAGUACGUGAAAUUGCCAAAAGGGAAGGGUAGGAGGUCAGAGAUGCGGCCUGGGAUUCAGCCUUGCUUUUGCUUGGUGUUUUUCCCAGAUUGCAGGCCAACGUCGGUUUUGGGCACUGGAGAAGGGUAGGAGGAACGUGGCACCUCUCGGGGUGUGUUAUAGCCUCCUACUGGAUACAGCGACCGAGACCGAGGACAGCAGCGUACUCGCAAGAGCGGGCCUUCGGGCACCUUUACGCUUAGGGCGUUGGCAUAAUGGCCCUCUACCACCCGUCUU
RNAcentral lists this ribosomal RNA (592 nucleotides) under uncultured Pseudozyma. RNAcentral describes it as "eukaryotic LSU rRNA". It matches the Rfam family "Eukaryotic large subunit ribosomal RNA", at positions 77 to 655 of the family's 3401-position model. The record is from RNAcentral. Lineage: Eukaryota; Fungi; Basidiomycota; Ustilaginomycetes; Ustilaginales; Ustilaginaceae.